RNAcentral lists this small nuclear RNA (193 nucleotides) under Rhodotorula sp. JG-1b. Its description in RNAcentral is "U2 spliceosomal RNA". It matches the Rfam family "U2 spliceosomal RNA". From Rfam's summary of the family: U2 is a small nuclear RNA (snRNA) component of the spliceosome (involved in pre-mRNA splicing). Complementary binding between U2 snRNA (in an area lying towards the 5' end but 3' to hairpin I) and the branchpoint sequence (BPS) of the intron results the bulging out of an unpaired adenosine, on the BPS, which initiates a nucleophilic attack at the intronic 5' splice site, thus starting the first of two transesterification reactions that mediate splicing. The record is from Rfam by way of RNAcentral. Lineage: Eukaryota; Fungi; Basidiomycota; Microbotryomycetes; Sporidiobolales; Sporidiobolaceae.
AACCUUUCUGGCCUUUUGGCUCUGAUCAAGUGUAGUAUCUGUUCUUAUGAUUGUGAAUAAUCAUAGUCCCCCAUCGGGGGACAUUAUAUUCAUAAUUAUCUUUGGACGCUGGCGCAGGCAGUUCUUGGGCUUGCCCUCCUGUCUGCCAAGAUGGCCCUUCCAUUCCACUCCCGGUCGGCGCUGUCAGGCUUCU